Molecule: long non-coding RNA, 1437 nt
Organism: Neopsephotus bourkii (Bourke's parrot)
Lineage: Eukaryota; Metazoa; Chordata; Aves; Psittaciformes; Psittacidae
Exons: 4
Source: RefSeq, a predicted model, not a curated record
CAUUGAGGCAGGUGUUGUUUUAACCAAAACUUGAGGGGACCACUGUGUAUAAGAAAACUGAUCAAAGUUGCUUGGAAAGCUUGCACCAUAGAGCAGAUGAUGCUCUCAACUUCCUGAACAUUCUUCAUGCUGCGAAACACCAGAGCAGGGCCAGCAGUUAUCCCUUCCCCCUCUACUGCUCCUGCCUUGGGCUCUGAAUCACUCAGAGACAGGACAUUUCCUAAAGGAAGCAGUGAUGAAGCUGAGCAUCGUAACCCAGGCUCCAGCAACAGAUGCUGUUACACUGUGUUGCUACCACAGUGUCCUAUUGCUUUAGUUGUCAGGAAGUGACAUGCCUGAAAGCCAAAAGCGUUGCUUGUCUGCAUUCCCAUGUUACUCUUUGGCCUUAUAAAGCUUGUUUCACUUCACACACACGUGUAAAUCAGGAAAGAAAGGUUGGUGUCACCCACUGCUCAUGUGCAGGGCAAACACUGAAACUGCCAUCAGUGGCAUGUCCUGAAGUGCUUUCUCUUUGCCAUCCAUAUGCAUUUCAAGCAGAGUCUGGCAGUUUGCUUCCUCACUGGAGCCCGGCUGCAGCAGCCCCUCAGUGUGUGCUUUCCCAAAGGAAUCCAGGCCUGUCUGUGAGCUGUUCUGCCUGGACAGACCCAGGGGGAAUCAUGGUGGUCAGCAGGGCUCCAGCGGAUGGAGGUGCCAGUGGGUGGUUCAGCAGGCAGGAGCAGAAUAGAAGCUGUAUCAGCGCUAACAAAUGUGGUUUCUGUGUUUAUCAGGCCUGUCUCUGCUGCCUCCGGGACAUGAGCCUUUGAUUAGAUAAGUUUGAAGUGUUUUUCCAUGUCAUCAAUGAGAAGAGGUGGGAACUUGAAAUAUUUGAACAAGUUACACUAACAAUUGCAGCACUAAAGCUCUCCCAGUGUUACAAGAAAUAUAUUAACUUGGAGGACACACAACAUAAAAAUGUCCAUUUUGCGUAUCUGAAAUGCUGCAGAGACGGACCGGACAGCAAAGAGGGGGGAGGACAAGCUUGAUGCCCCUCUUUUAGCCUGCAAAGAGGAGCAAGUCCCUCUCUCAAUGAAAGGGAGACCCAUUCAUGCACUGUUCUGUUGGCCACUAUUAAAACCCAGGAUUCUCAACAUCCCACCCAGACUACUUGGGAAAUCCACAGAGAAGACCUCUUGGAUUAUAACUACAAUCUACCAUGUAAUGAAGACAAUCAGGCUCAGGGAACACCUCCAACUGCUGCUCACUCCACAUCUUUAACAUCAUUUCUUGUUAAGGAGGCUCAUUUAGCUCAUCAAAGACACUUGAUUCAAACUGGGCUGUGCUGAACCUCGGUCAUCGCUGAGAAAAGCCACCGUUGAAGAUGGGAAUCCCCAGCAGAGCCUCUCCACUGUUAACUGGACCUCUGGUUGACCUCCAGCACAAGAGGAACACUGUCCCACG